UGGUAAAACACAGUACUCUUUCUUGUAAAUUCCCUGGAGCCAUUUGAUUCUCAGAUGUUGCCAUUGCUUAUUUUUGCUGAACUCUUGUAUCCAUGGCCAACCUAUGGUUAAAAUUCAAUCAUAAUCCAUCAAAUUGAGUUGUCUCCCAACCCACUGUUUUUCCAAUAAAUUCAUUGUCAUUAAGUGUAAUACGUGAUACAAACUCUGGUUGGUUUAAUCACAUCAAUGAGUGAGACAGAAAUGAACCGAAAAGAUAUAGAUCUUUAUUCAUCAGUGAUGUGAGCAACUUCUUUGCUAUAUUGGAUCAUUUUUCCAGUACUGGACGAAUGUUUUGUGCCAGUCAUAAUAUAAUGGCUAAAAGCUGGACACAAUUUUAAGUUUAGCUGCAGUGUUAAUUUUCUCCAUUAUUAGGCUAGGGGUUGGGAAAUGUUUUCUACAAAGGACCAGAUACAUAUUUGCCGGACACCAAUGGUCUCUGGCACAUAUUCUUUGUUUUAUAUUUUACCAACCUUUAAAAAUGUAAAAGCCAUUCUUCGCUUGAGCAAGGGCCUCACUUGGCCUUCAAUCUCUGAAUUGUAGCAUUUUCAGAGUUCCGCAGUGUAACUAUUUCUCCAAUGGCCAACUUGGGAGUAUCUGAACCAACUUGAAAUACCUUGAAUGCAGAGUUAGGGAAAGUAUUUCCACCAUACAGGUACAAGAGAUGUGAGUAACCUCAAAAGCAUGGGUUUUCGUAAAGUAAUCAUGAAGUGGUGAGUUUUGAGACCUUGGUUUUGAUAGAAUUGAUUUCACUCUAAGUUUAUAUAAUUCAAUUUUUUAUAACAUCUGUGUUUAACAGCUAGCUCAUGGAAUUCCUGAAUAUUUAACAAUCAGCUCUAACUGGCUCUAACUCCACACUGGUCUAACCUCUAAGUGGGCCUGGGGGUGGGUAAGCCAGGCUUCUGGGAGGGUAGGCGAUGUUCUGUUUCUGGGUUAAACUUAGACACACGGGAAGGUGAAACACCCCUGCCCCCCCCAAUGAGUCAAUGCCCUGUAUCAUCACCUCCCCAUGAGUGUAGGCGGGGCCUGCAAUGUGCUUCUAAUCCGUAGAAUUUGGUGAAAGGACUGUGAUGUCAUCCCUUCCCUUUGGGUCGCAUCGUAUGUAAAGGGAGUUGGAUGUCACGCCCAACACUCGCAGGACCCCAUGACAACUGGAGACAGACUCUCCCGCUGGCCUCUCGGGAGCAAACAGCCAUGUUGUGAAUGGCCCCAGAGAAGGACGCUUGGCAGGGAACCAUGGAGCUUCUGGGACCUGAGGGCAACCAGCAGCCCAGAAGAAGCUGGGCCAGCACCUCAAUCGUGGCCACGUGGGACCCUGAGCAGAAGACCAGCUGAGCAGUAUACCGGGACUGCUGCCCCACAGACACCAAGGGGCGGCGACAGAGGAUGAGCAGCGCAGAGCCUGGGACGCUGCAACCAUCAGGCUUCUGGCGUCAUCAUCAACCGAGGAAGCUGGAGCCCUGGGUCAAGCCACACCGAAAUUCCAUCUGUACCCAGAUCCCAGGUGAGAACACCAGGGCUCCCAGGGGCCAAGCAGCUGCCCUGGUCUAGUCACGAGAACAGGCCACUUAGCGGAAACCUAGGAUUUAAACACAGCAGCACAGCACUGGGGCUUGGAUGAUGGACACUCAGCUCAGAUGAACUUAGACUCCAUGAGAUGCAAUCAGCAAAAGUGGGAAACAGACUCUGGGAAACUUUAAUGAACAAGUGACCCCGUUUUUAAAAAUAAAUCGAAAGGGGGAAAAAAGGAGGCGGAGGGAAAACAUGGACUAAAAGAGAUUAAGAGAAUCCUCACUCGUUUUUGGGAACAUAAAAUGCUGCAGUCACUUGGGAAAACGGUCUGGUAAUUUCUUUAAAAGUUAAGUAUACAUUCGGCGUGUAACCCAGCAAUUCCACCCCUGUAAAUCUACUGGAGUGAAAUGAAAACACAUGUCAACAAGUAGUGCAUAAAAGUUUAUAGCAGAAGUUUUACUAAAACCCAAACUGGAAGCAACACGUGUGUCUCUCAACUUGUGGACUGAUUUCUUUUUUUAAACGGUGGUAUAUUCAUACAGCAAAGCAUUGUCAGCAAUAACAGGGAUGAACUGCUGAUCCGUGCAACAUGGAUGAACCCCAAAACCUUGCGCUUUGCGUAAGAAACCAGACACAAAAGGCCACAUAGCGUGUGAUUCUGUGUAUGGGAAAUAGGUAGAAAAGGAAAAACCCUAGAGAAAAAAGCAUAUCUGUGUUUGCCUGACGCUGAAGGUCAGAGUGAGAAUCGACCGCAAAUGGGCGUGAGGGAACUUUUUGGGUGACAGAAAUAUUCUGAAACUGGAUUGGGGUGGUUAUUGAACAACUGUGCAAUUCUCCAAAAGUUUGUCCAACUGUACGUUACAGUGUGUGAAUUUUGUGGUAUGUAAAUUAUACCUCAAUUGAGGUAAAUUAUCCCUCAAUAAGGUUAUGAGAAGAUGAAAAUCUAAACACUGGCCAAAAAUUGUGUACUGUUAAGGCAGGAUUAGGAUUCUUUCGUGGAUUAUCGUGGUGAUUUUUUUUAAAACCAACUCUUAUCUUUUACGGAUACGCACUGAAUUAUAGGAAAUGAUAUAAUGCCUGAGAUUGGCUUCAAAAUAAUACGAGAGGAUUUGGGCGGCUUAUAGAUGAAACAAGGCUGUGUAUACGGAUCCCCGCUGGAGCUGGGUUUUGGGUACAUGGAGUCUUUGAAAUCGGUGUGUCGUGUGUUUUACACGGACAGCACAUCUCACUUUGGCUGGGUCCCACUUCCAGUGCUCAAGAGCUAUAAAUGAUAAAGCGGCUAUAAAUUAUCCCUCGGGGGUUUCUGCGUGUAUUCUGGGUCGUGAAGCCUUAGAAGGACCAUCGCUUCUGCCCAGCUGCAUCCUCAGGGUUGUAGCAAAGGCUCCCGCCGAGGGCACAACCCCAGUGGCUCAUCAGUCAGGGGCUGGUUUUGUCUGCAGUGGGGACUCUCCACUGGGAUGACACCACUGACUGGGCACUCGGAGGGCCUGACUUCAAGCCGCUGAUUUAAAAACCUGGCGUGACCUGUUCACCGGGUACAAAGGUGACUUACGCAGCCCAUCGGAUGUCGCUCCAGAAGAGCGGGCCCCUGAGCGCUUAGAGGAUCGAGCCUGUUUGUGGUGGAAAUAACAGCACAAAAACCUUUGCGGAGAAGCAGAAACAGAGCUGCUGAAUUACUGCUUGGAAUGACCUCUGUUUCCACUCCUGCACGCACGGAGCUUACAUUGGUCCAUAACACACCGCUCCCAGCCACGCAAGAAAAAAGCUAGACGAGCUGAAGAAUGAAAACUCGUCUUAGAUCUGCCAGAGCAGUGAGGUCACAGGGCAAACCGCCGCCCUAGGUUGUUUGGACAGACGGACGAAUGCAGAGUCACGAUGCACGAAGCCAGAGAACAGGAAACGGUGGGGGGGACCCAGGGCUGGGUGGACAGAUCACACACCCCUGGGGGCCCGUCCUGGGGGCCCUGACACUGCCAUGAGUUUUACCACUCGAAACCCUGCCAGGUUUUCACAGUAAAGAUCAGGAAAAAACCAAAUCCCCUUGAGCUUCCUUCCAUCAGGGGAGGAAAACAGGCAUCGCGCGUUCUUUCUAUUCUCCGUGAGGCUUGCCUGGCUGAGCAGCUUCUGGGGGCUUCUGCGGAGCUGGCCCUCGGGCUAAGAGCCUUGCUUUCCUUAUUUCCAAGUCGAUUUUUACGAAACACUCUGCAUUUGUUGAGGUCACAGGAGUGACUCUCUCAGUGUCCUCCAACAGCCCUAAGCCCAUUUCACAGCAGAGGAAACUGAGGCCCAGUGGCCAAGUAACUUGUUCGAGGGCACAGAGCUGGUUAGCGGUGGGGCUGGCGCCCCUCCCCCAGCACCUUCGUUCCGCUUUGUCUUGACAUGGAGAAUCCUCCAGGCUCAGGCGAACGUCUGGAAGACGCAGCCCUGCCAGCGUCUCACGAGAGACCCCGAGCCAGGACCACCCCACUGGGUCACCCCCAAAUUCCCGACGCACAGACACUGUGAGAUGGUACACGUUGAUUGGUUUCAGCUGCUACGUUUUGGAACCGUUUGCUGUUACACAGCCACAGAUGAGUAACACACAGAACAUCUUUCUUUCUUCCUGAGCGCCAACACCCGAAUGUUCUGUCAAGAGUAGUUUUCACCCCGGCUUUGUUUGAACAAGUUUCCUGUGGUGUCGAAGUCAGACAUGUCUUUUCCUGAAUUAGCGUUUAAGAAAUAUGAUCGGUUCUAAAUGACAGGGUGGCCAGGGGAGGCUGUAAAAAAAAAACAAGCCCACCUGUUCCAAGUGAGCUGAGGACACGGGCCAUGUCUCUCUCAGGUUUUGGGGGCCUCAAAUGGGUGAGGAAGUUUCUUGGAGGAUCAUUCUGUCUGUCUGUCUCUAUCUUCUGUGGUGAUCCAAAAAUGCGGUCCUUCUCGGGAGUGGUCAGAGGCCCAUCUCUGUGUGAUGUAACGCCCCAGGGACUCAGUGAGCAGACAGGAAGCAGCACUGGGGAUGCAGAGAGGAUCCAGAAGGAUAUAGAAGCAGCAGGAAGUGACAUUCAGCAGACAGGAAGAGGAAGGGGACGCUGAAAGCACAGAGAACGCUCUGGGCUCAUCGCUCAUUUGCCAGAUGCACCUCGAGCUUCAGGCCCUCGAAGCUGUGAGUGUGGACCCGCCGCUUUCAGAUUCUGAGGCUUCCCAGCCCAUCUGCCCACCUUCAGGCCCAGCCAGGACUAGGUGGAGGGUUUCCACCGGGCCCCUGUGUUGUGAUGGGGAACAGCAGGCCAAGCGAGGACCCCUUUGGCUCAGGGCAGGAGGGUGACCCCAUCGGCGCUUUUUGCGGAGGUCUUGUACGGCUCUGCCCGGACCACGUUGGUGUGAUUCCCUGACUUUGGAGGAUGAAGGGAGGAGGGGGCAGACAGCAGCCCAGCCACACCCCGCCCCCAGAGCAGCACCGUCCAGAACUUUCUGCAGUUAUGGGAACUUUCUUCAUCUGCACUGUUCAGUACAGCAGCCAUUGGCCACGUGGGUCUCCAGAUCCAGCUCUUGGAAUGUGGCUCGUGCCGCGUUUCACAAGGAAGGGUUUCAUUUUAUUUCAUUUUCGUUAGAGUAUAAGUGUAGAUAGCCAGAUGUGACUAGCGGCUUCUGAAUUGGACGAUAUGGCCCUUAAUCCUUGUUUUGGGUCUAAAAUCACAAACUCUCUAGAGAUGUAUAAAUAUAUAUAUUUUUAAUUUUAUAUUAAAUGUACAUAGAGUAAAAGGUACAUGGAGUAAAAUUCACUUUUUCUGUGUACAGUUCUGCUACUUUUGACAAAUACGUGGGGUCGUAUAAUCACCACCACAACCGUCACCUCCCACCCAGGAUUCCCACAUGUCAUUUUGUAGCUAGCCUCUCCGCAGACCUCCAGCCCCCAGAAUCACUCAUCUGUUUCUGCCUCUAUAGUUUUGCUUUUUCCAGGAUGUCCUACAAAUGGAAGCAUACAGGAUGCGCUUGGGGUCCUCUGUGGUGUUCUCUGUAUGCGUCCUUUGCUCCUUUUCAGUGCUGCGUGAUGUUCCGUCGUACGGUUGUGCCUAAGUUUGUUUUCUGUUCCCCUAGCGAGGUGCGUUUGGAUUGUUGGGUUGUCGAGUUUGGGAUCUUUAGGGAAAAAGCCACUACAGAUAAUCAUGUACAAGUUUUUGUGUCCACACAAGUUUUCAUUUCGCUUGGAUAAAGAGCUAGUGAUGGGGUUGCGGGUCAUUCGGUAAGGUAGUUGAACUGUAUGAGAAACGGCCAGACUUUUCCAAAGUGGCAGUACCGUCUUGACUUCUGCGAGCCAUGUGGGAGAACUCCAGACCUUCUCAUCAGUUUUCACAGAAAUCCCAGUGUGGUUUUAUCCUGCUUCCUAACAACGAAUGAUGUUGAGCAUCUUUUCCUGGGCUUGUUUUUCACGCCUAUACCUUUAGUGAAGGAUCUGUUCGUGUGUUUUUGUUUUGUUUUGUUUUUAAGACUUCAAUUAUCUUUUUUUUUUUUUUUUUUUUUGGCUGUGUUUGGUCUUUGUUGCUGCACACGGACUUUCUUUAGUUGCGGCAAGCAGGGUCUACUCUUCGUUGUGGUGCGCGGGCUUCUCAUUGCGGUUGCUUCUCUUGCUGCAGAGCACGGGCUCUAGGCACGUGGGCUCAAUAGUUGUGGCUUGAGGGCUCUAGAGCACAGGCUCAGUAGUUGUGGCGCACGGGCUUAGUUGCUCCGCGGCAUGUGGGAUCUUCCUGCACCAGGGCUCAAACCCGUGUCCCUUGCAUUGGCAGGCGAAUUCCUAACCACUGCGCCACCAGGGAAGUCCCACGUGUGUUUGUUUUUAAUGGAUUGUUUUUCCAGAUAUUCCAUGGCCUCUUUUUAACAUGGCCUUCAUCGUCACCCACCAAUACGGCGUGUUUUUCUUGUAAACGGUUUAGUGUCUUGUAGUGAAUUUUGUUCCUUUUUGUUCCUGCAGCCAGCUCCAGAGGCUUCCAUCAGGGUAAGAGCCUGCGUGUCGUGGGCUCCCAGCAGUCGACUGGGUCCUCCCUCGCAAACUUUUUCUUUUUCCUUUUUUGAGCGAAUGCAUCGUGAAGCAGCUUUAGCAGCCCGUCUAGACGCAAGAGAGUGUGAGAAGAAUUCACUUUCUCCGAUUCUGGUUCUAUAAUGGCUUUUUAUUGCCCCCUUUCUGGACCUCUCUGUUGAAGCUGUCAGUGUAUUGAAGGCUUGCUGUUUAAGAGGAAAGGAACUUGCAAGGUUCAGUGGGUGUCUCGGAUUGCAGGGUCAUCGUGAGUCAGCCCUGGGAGCUCCUACCAUUGUCACGUACAGGUUCUUGCGGGUCGGGAAAAGAACUGUCCAGGUCUGUCAGUCUGCGCAGAAGUCUUCACGUUUAAUAUCGUCACGCCUGAGGGCCGUGGAAGCACAUAUAUCCCUCUUGUUCUCAAACAGACCUGUCAUUAACAAGAGAGAAGUCACCCCAGAUGAGCCAGAGGAAAGAACUUUGGAGGUUUUAUGUAAAUCUCUCUCUUUAAAGAAAAAAUUGUGGUAAAAGACACGUAACCCAAAAUUUACAAUCUUAACUAUUUUAAGUGUACAGUUCGGUAGCGUCAAGUACAUUCACAUUAUCGUGCAGCCAUCGUCAUCUCCAAAACUUUUUCAUCUUGCGAAACGGAAGCUCUGUCCCCAUUAAACACUCACUCCCCAUUCAUUCCCUGUCCCUCUGGGAAGUAACCACCCUUCUACUUUUUGUCUCUAUGAACUUGACUCCCCUAGGGACCCCACAUAAGCGGAAUCAUACAGGACCUCUCUUUUCGUGACCAGUUGAUUUCUCUUAGCCCCAUGUCUCCAGGAUUCAUCCACGUUGUAGCAGGUGUCAGGAUUUCCUUUGUUUUUAAGGCUGAAUAAUGUCCCAUCAGACAUGUCGGUGGACCCUUGGCUUGUUUCCAUCUUUUGCAUAUUGUGAAUAACGCUGCAUUGAACGUGAGUGUACAGAUGUCAUUUCAAGACCCUGCUUUCGGGACUUCUCUGGUGGUGCAGUGGUUAGGAAUCCGCCUGCCAGUGCGGGGGAUACGGGUUCGAGCCCUGGUCUGGGAAGAUCCCACGUACCGCAGAGCAACUAAGCCCAUGCACCACAACUACUGAGCCUGCACUCUAGAGCCCGCGAGCCACAACUACUGAGCCCACGUGCUGCAACUACUGAAGCCCGCGUGCCUAGAGCCCGUGCUCCACAACAAGAGAAGCCACCUCAAUGAGAAGCCCAUGCACGGAAACGAAGAGUAGCCCCCCCGCUCGCUGCAACUAGAGAAAACCCGCAUGCAGCAAUGAAAACCCAACGCAGCCAAAAAUAAAUAAACAAAUUUAUUUAAAAACAAAUAAAGACCCUGCUUUCAAUUCUCGUGGGUAUAGACCAAAAAGUGGAAUCGCUGAAUCAGAUGAUCGUAUGUUUUCCACCAAAGUGCUUUCUAGAGGGGCUGCAGCGUUCUCCAUUCCCGCCAGCAAUGCGUCUGUAAACGUCUUUGUCUGAGAUAAAUAUUGCUUGACUCCCUUAACUUCUCCCCAUCUCCCUAGUUCAGCCCCUGGCCUGGUCUACGAGUUUCCUAGCUGGCCUCCUAUGGUCACGCAGACCCCUUUCGGAUUCAGGCUCUGCCCGACAGCCAGUGAUCCUAAUUCCGAUA
Molecule: long non-coding RNA, 8192 nt
Organism: Orcinus orca (killer whale)
Lineage: Eukaryota; Metazoa; Chordata; Mammalia; Artiodactyla; Delphinidae
Exons: 6
Source: RefSeq, a predicted model, not a curated record